Molecule: ribosomal RNA, 716 nt
Filed under: Staphylococcus aureus
Lineage: Bacteria; Bacillati; Bacillota; Bacilli; Caryophanales; Staphylococcaceae
Description: partial 23S ribosomal RNA
Rfam family: Bacterial large subunit ribosomal RNA
Source: RNAcentral
CCUGUACCACCUAUAAUCGUUUUAAUCGAUGGGGGGACGCAGUAGGAUAGGCGAAGCGUGCGAUUGGAUUGCACGUCUAAGCAGUAAGGCUGAGUAUUAGGCAAAUCCGGUACUCGUUAAGGCUGAGCUGUGAUGGGGAGAAGACAUUGUGUCUUCGAGUCGUUGAUUUCACACUGCCGAGAAAAGCCUCUAGAUAGAAAAUAGGUGCCCGUACCGCAAACCGACACAGGUAGUCAAGAUGAGAAUUCUAAGGUGAGCGAGCGAACUCUCGUUAAGGAACUCGGCAAAAUGACCCCGUAACUUCGGGAGAAGGGGUGCUCUUUAGGGUUAACGCCCAGAAGAGCCGCAGUGAAUAGGCCCAAGCGACUGUUUAUCAAAAACACAGGUCUCUGCUAAACCGUAAGGUGAUGUAUAGGGGCUGACGCCUGCCCGGUGCUGGAAGGUUAAGAGGAGUGGUUAGCUUCUGCGAAGCUACGAAUCGAAGCCCCAGUAAACGGCGGCCGUAACUAUAACGGUCCUAAGGUAGCGAAAUUCCUUGUCGGGUAAGUUCCGACCCGCACGAAAGGCGUAACGAUUUGGGCACUGUCUCAACGAGAGACUCGGUGAAAUCAUAGUACCUGUGAAGAUGCAGGUUACCCGCGACAGGACGGAAAGACCCCGUGGAGCUUUACUGUAGCCUGAUAUUGAAAUUCGGCACAGCUUGUACAGGAUAGGUA